Musa acuminata subsp. malaccensis (wild Malaysian banana) is the source of this 3605-nucleotide non-coding RNA. NCBI's taxonomy places the organism in Eukaryota, Viridiplantae, Streptophyta, Magnoliopsida, Zingiberales, Musaceae. The record is from RefSeq and is a predicted model, not a curated record.
AUUCUUCUUCUUCUUCUUCUUCUUCCUUCCCACUCCUUCCAUGGGAGCAUUCUUCUUCUCCAUUCUUCUCCCGUUUCUUUCAGAGAGAAGAACCAAGCCGAGAUCUUGUCCGUGAGAGAAUUCUUGUUCUCCAGCUCUCAACAUUUCCUCUCCUUCCGUUAAUUCUUUCUUUCCCCUUCCCUCCUUUUUUUGCUUUCUACCAUUCCUUGUGCCUCUUUAAUUGAUUCCGUUUUGCUUCGCUUGUUGAGGAGGCAAGCAAGAAAGGCGCACCUUUUUGCGGCACUACAGAUCCCUCCUCCGCUGACCGCAAAGCUUGCGGCUUGGGGUGAUGUGGGGAUAUGUAUUCUCCUCCUUCCGUCGCAACUCCUUCCUCUUUCCUCCCCUCCCUCCCCACGCCGAGAUUCGUAGCUCCAUUCCAUGCCAAGAUCGGUUCUUUAGGGGUGCUCCACCCGUCGAGGACUAGAAUCUGCGGAUGGAGGAGUGGGAGGAGGAAGGAGAUCGUCGUGAAAGCGAGGGAGGAGGAGGAUGCGUUUGCGAUGGCGCCAAGGAGUAUGGACGUGGAGGCCGAGCUUUACGAGUUCAUGCGGAGGUCCGCGAAGCCGAUGGACUUCCCGACCAGGGACGAGCUCGUCGCCGCCGGGAGGGCCGACUUGGCGGAGACCGUGGCUGCGCAGGGCGGCUGGCUCACCUUUGGGUGGGAUCUUGAUGAUGGCGGCGAGGAAGUAAUCGAUGGGUCGCAAUCAAUGAGUGACGUCGCUCAAGAAGAUGGUGAAGUCUAUCAAGAAAGGGUUCUUAACGGUUCUUUGGGGACUAAUCCUGCAACUGCUCUGGGUUGUGAGGAUCGUUCCGCUGCCCCAUCUUUUUCCGGGAGAUCAUUGGAGAUGGAGAAUCUCGAGGAUGGUGGGGUCGAGGGGAUAUUGAGCAGGCUGGAGAAAGAGAGGAGCUUCUCUCUUGCGCUGGCUUCAAGAGGGAAAGUGGUGAAUGGUCGAGACUCAUGGAGGAAUGCUGUGCAUGAUCCAGGAGAUACAGGUGGGAAAUUGGAAGAUGUUAAUGGCACAAAAAGUUCAGUGCCAGACGUGGAGGAGUUGGAGCAUUCAAAGGUUGCUGAAACUGUUCCCACUGAUGACAGAAAGAUGUUAGAGGAUGACUCUUUAAAAGUUGAAUGGAGCACUAUGCAUAUACAAACUCAGAACUCAUUUAUGUCUCAUAAUGGGAUGAAGGAGUCAUUUGCUGACAAAAGUCAGAGACAUUUACAUCUUCAGCACUUGGAGGCAGAUCUUAGCUCUGCACUUUGGUUAGUUAGAUCUAGAGCUAAUGGUGUUGUUUCACAUAAGCACCAAGGAAACUCGAUAGAUGAGCUACAUAGACCUUCUGAUGCUUGGGAAUUCCAAGAGACUGAGAUAGUGAAUGCCCGAGAUAAGUUGCAGUCAGUUCGAGCAAAAUUGGCAAUUUUAGAAGGAAACUUGUCUUUUAAGAUCAUGGAAGCACGAAAAGUAAUGGAAGAGAGACAGAAAAGAAUUGAUGCUGCUCAAAAUGCUUUACAUCUUCUUCGUAUGGCCUAUAUAGUCUGGCCUAAUUCUGCUUCAGAGGUUUUACUUGCAGGGUCUUUUGAUGGGUGGACUGGUCAGAGAAGGAUGGAAAGAUCAAGUUCCUGUAUCUUCACUUUACAGCUAAAAUUGUACCCUGGCCGGUAUGAGUCCAGAUGACAUACUAUCCAAGAACUGGGCAUUUGUUGGGAUGGUGCAAUAACCUAGAGCUUCUGUCCAGAACUGAUGGCUGAAUGCUGAAUUAGAUGGGACUUCAGUACUGGAAGAUCCCAAACCUUGUAAGCAUUUGCAUCUUAAUAUUUGCCCUUUUGAAGCUUUGGAUUAUAAAUAUAUUCUUUGAGAAGUAUGCAUACACAUGUUGAUUUGUACAUUCAUCAAACGUAGACAUCCAUGAAUCUAAUUUUCCUGGGAGUAAAUUCAUAAAUUUAUCUUUUACUCGGCAAAUGCGAUAACCUUACCUCGUGCAGGGUCUUAUGUGCAUUUUGCAUAGAUUUCAUCAAUAAGUUGCAUUGCUGUAAUGCCAUUCUUUUUUUGGUCUGCUGUUGCAUGCUUAAUGUAGCAAAAUUUGAGAGCUUAAAUGGGAAGAAGAUUUUAGGAGUGCAACACAUCACUAGAGACUUUACCCCUGGUUUAUAUUUCCAUGACCUGUGAAGUCACAAACACAUUCCAUAUUGCAACGCCUGAUCUGUGUUCAGCUGUUUCUUUGGAAAACUUGAUGGAUAGAUGCACGUAGAAAUAUCCUGUUCUUCUCCAAAGUUGCAGAUCAACCUAAGCCCAGAGACCAAGAAUGAUGAGUGGGGAUCAACCAUGGAGAAGAGAAUGGUGAGAUAAUGCUGCCAUUGGUGGUAAUUUUGCUGGUGAACUGCAAACAGAGAUCCUCCGCCGCUCUCUGAUCACACCAGGCAGCGACUGCCAUCACGAUGAUGGAAUGGACGGACCUUUCGAGCCAUGGGACCAUGAUCAGAUCUGGGUCCUCACAGGGCAUUUUACCUGCUUGAUGCAGGGCCCGGAGGUGCCAUGGAUUUGCAGCAAAUCCAUCUGGUUCACUCUGUUCUUUUUGAGUUGCAGUUGCAGCCAUGUCAAGAGUUCUGAACCUGUGUAAACAUGAAGACCAAGUCAGGAGGUUGAAGUAAACAAAAUGAUUAGAAGAGAGUUUCUCAUAAACAGUUGUAAAGCAUCAGUGGGCUCGAGCCUGUAGACGAGAAAACACUUGAGCAACCUGGUGGAUUAAGUUACAAGAGUAGGUAGCAGGAGGAAAAGAAAAAGGAUGAUCUUGAUGGAAGAAGAUUCUGAAAAGCUAUGCAUCCACACCAUAAUUUGGUUGCAGUAAUAACGAACUGUUCAGCUGAUCAUAUGAAUUGGCAGUGGUUGCAAUGCACGAUUAGAACACAUACACAUACUGCUAUUGGUUGAGAAACAUGGCAUAGAUCCCUAUGAGUGUCACAAAGCUGGAACUUACAGAAUGGUGGUGCAGGUUGGAUCUUACCUAAACUUAUCAGUGUAGAAGAGCUCAGAGAUGAGACAGCUGAGGUUAGAUGUUUCCUCCGCUCUUUUUCUAUGUGGGUGCAAUAUGAACUUUUAAGAAUGUUCGGUCCUCAUCUCACGUGAAACAAUUGUUUACAUUAAAUGCAUGCAUCAUGUUUAACGAUGUAUUUAGUUACAACAAUAGGUAGCAGGAGGAGAAGGAAAAGGGUAAUCUUGAUGGAGGAAAAUUCUGAAAAGCUAAGCAUGCACACCAUAAUUUGGUUGCAGUAAGAAUGAACUGUUCAGCUGAUGAUAUGAAUUGGCAAUGGUUGAAUGCACGAUUGGAACACAUAUACACAUACUGCUAUUAGUUCAGAAAGAUGGCAUAGUUUCUUAUGUGUAACAAAGCUGGAACUUACAGAAUGGUGAUGCGGGUUGGAUCUUACCUGAACUGAUCAGUGUCGGAGAGCUCAGAGAUGAGAGAGCUGAGCAGCAGCUAGGAGAAUGGAACAAGAGCAUAAACCCUAGAACAAGUUUGCCUAGAAGGAAGAAGGGAAAGGAAGGGAAUGAAGAGCUCCCAUCAUUCAUCUGCAG